CGUUUCCAGUUUGCCUUUGGGUCGGGAGUGCCCCCACUCUGUGGAUUAGGAAAUUGAGGCCCAAAGGGAGGGGAAGUAGUUUAAAUCUGUGGGAAAGCGAAAUCUCCUAAGCCUCAGGCCAAGAGUAGCCCGAGGGCUUUUCUGUUCAGAGAGAAAAGGGUGCAGCUUAAAGACCAAAAAAAUGAGGCGGGGGCUUCGUAGGCCCGGAGUGUGUAAGGCCGGGGGCCGAGAAGCUUCUGUGGCGGGGAGGAUGACCUCUGACCCCCUUUCUGUAAUUCACCAGUUUGUUGGCUAGAGCUUCCCCAGCGAGACCAGCUUGGAAUUGUGAUCCCUCCGGCUUCGGUCAUUGUUAGGCCGCGUUUAGAUGGCCUUGCCCGCGGUGCAUGCCGAGUGUGGUGUGACGAUUUUUGAGUUCUUAGAAACGGUUGGGGGCCUUUGGAGGGAACUUUUUCGCUAAGAGCCUCACCUGGGCGUCUUUGCUGGGAACGCUUUGUGAUCUGGGGAUAGGGGUCACUGGCCUACCUCUUGUCAUCCCUAUCUGAAUUAGGCAUCUUCUGUCAUUUCCAGAGUCGGCUCCCCUUAGCACCGUCCUGGCGUUUGCUGAAUGAAUGGGGGCCGAUGAGGAAAUCAAGAUCAAGAGAAUUAACUGACUUACCCAAGAUCUUAUAAGUAGUAAGCAGUUCAGAUAGUAUUUGAACCCAGAUGCCUUCUAAAUCCAGAUUCAUCACACUUCACUGCAGAGCUCUUCCAGAAAAAUGUGAUGUUCCAGGGCUGCUUGAUAGCAGAACAUUGUCAUCUGCAGAAGAGGCAUCUGAAGAGUAUCACUAUAUAAAAGACCCUUUUUCAUCUUGGAUGUUUCUGGGUUUCCUCUGUCACAAGGAUAAACACCUUUGAGAAGCUUAUAUUCCUUUGAUGUUUACAAUCAGAGAGUCAUUUGGACAGGGUAAUUUUUAUGUCUUUUAGAGAAUUUUGAGUGAUUUUUGAGGUGUUGAUAGCAGGCACAUCAUUGUAAAAGAAACUUUAAAGAUAUUUUGCUCAACUGAAUAAAAGGAA
RNAcentral lists this long non-coding RNA (1053 nucleotides) under Sarcophilus harrisii (Tasmanian devil). Its description in RNAcentral is "lncRNA (ENSSHAG00000025555.1)". Lineage: Eukaryota; Metazoa; Chordata; Mammalia; Dasyuromorphia; Dasyuridae. The record is from RNAcentral.